RNAcentral lists this ribosomal RNA (683 nucleotides) under Vibrio mediterranei. RNAcentral's name for it is "bacterial SSU rRNA". It matches the Rfam family "Bacterial small subunit ribosomal RNA", at positions 749 to 1431 of the family's 1533-position model. Lineage: Bacteria; Pseudomonadati; Pseudomonadota; Gammaproteobacteria; Vibrionales; Vibrionaceae. The record is from RNAcentral.
AGAUGCGAAAGCGUGGGGAGCAAACAAGGAUUAGAUACCUGGUAGUCCACGCCGUAAACGAUGUCUACUUGGAGGUUGUGGCCUUGAGCCGUGGCUUUCGGAGCUAACGCGUUAAGUAGACCGCCUGGGGAGUACGGUCGCAAGAUUAAAACUCAAAUGAAUUGACGGGGGCCCGCACAAGCGGUGGAGCAUGUGGUUUAAUUCGAUGCAACGCGAAGAACCUUACCUACUCUUGACAUCCAGAGAAGCCAGCGGAGACGCAGGUGUGCCUUCGGGAGCUCUGAGACAGGUGCUGCAUGGCUGUCGUCAGCUCGUGUUGUGAAAUGUUGGGUUAAGUCCCGCAACGAGCGCAACCCUUAUCCUUGUUUGCCAGCGAGUAAUGUCGGGAACUCCAGGGAGACUGCCGGUGAUAAACCGGAGGAAGGUGGGGACGACGUCAAGUCAUCAUGGCCCUUACGAGUAGGGCUACACACGUGCUACAAUGGCGCAUACAGAGGGCAGCCAACUUGCGAAAGUGAGCGAAUCCCAAAAAGUGCGUCGUAGUCCGGAUUGGAGUCUGCAACUCGACUCCAUGAAGUCGGAAUCGCUAGUAAUCGUAGAUCAGAAUGCUACGGUGAAUACGUUCCCGGGCCUUGUACACACCGCCCGUCACACCAUGGGAGUGGGCUGCAAAAGAAGUGGGU